GCCAGCCCAAGGUUGCCCCACCUGUCCACCUCUUCCCGCCAUCCUCUGAGGAGCUCUCGACGCCGCCGAACAACCAGUACAUGGCCAGCAGCUACCUGACGCUGAGUGCCAGCGAGUGGAAGAGUCACGAGACCUAUGCCUGCAAGGUCACGCACGAGGCUGGCAAUGUGGAGAAGAACCUGAAGAGAUCCGAGUGUUCUUAA
Molecule: non-coding RNA, 203 nt
Organism: Leptosomus discolor (cuckoo roller)
Lineage: Eukaryota; Metazoa; Chordata; Aves; Leptosomiformes; Leptosomidae
Source: the annotation of a RefSeq genome assembly